This 628-nucleotide ribosomal RNA is filed under the name uncultured bacterium. RNAcentral's name for it is "bacterial SSU rRNA". It matches the Rfam family "Bacterial small subunit ribosomal RNA", at positions 563 to 1189 of the family's 1533-position model. The record is from RNAcentral.
AAGCGUGCGCAGGCGGUUUUGUAAGUCAGAUGUGAAAUCCCCGAGCUCAACUUGGGAACUGCGUUUGAAACUACAAGACUAGAAUAUGUCAGAGGGGGGUAGAAUUCCACGUGUAGCAGUGAAAUGCGUAGAGAUGUGGAGGAAUACCAAUGGCGAAGGCAGCCCCCUGGGAUAAUAUUGACGCUCAUGCACGAAAGCGUGGGGAGCAAACAGGAUUAGAUACUGUGGUAGUCCACGCCCUAAACGAUGUCUACUAGUUGUUGGUGGAGUAAAAUCCAUGAGUAACGCAGCUAACGCGUGAAGUAGACCGCCUGGGGAGUACGGUCGCAAGAUUAAAACUCAAAUGAAUUGACGGGGGCCCGCACAAGCGGUGGAUUAUGUGGAUUAAUUCGAUGCAACGCGAAAAACCUUACCUGGCCUUGACAUGUAACGAACUUUCCAGAGAUGGAUUGGUGCUCGAAAGAGAGCGUUAACACAGGUGCUGCAUGGCUGUCGUCAGCUCGUGUCGUGAGAUGUUGGGUUAAGUCCCGCAACGAGCGCAACCCUUGCCAUUAAUUGCCAUCAUUUAGUUGGGCACUUUAAUGGGACUGCCGGUGACAAACCGGAGGAAGGUGGGGAUGACGUCAAG